UACGGGGGGGGCAAGCGUUGUUCGGAAUUACUGGGCGUAAAGGGCUUGUAGGUGGCCAACUAAGUCCGACGUGAAAUCCCUAGGCUUAACCUAGGAACUGCGUCGGAUACUGGAUGGCUUGAAUCCGGGAGAGGGAUGCGGAAUUCCUGGUGUAGCGGUGAAAUGCGCAGAUAUCAGGAGGAACACCGGUGGCGAAGGCGGCAUCCUGGACCAUUACUGACACUGAAAAGCGAAAGCCAGGGGAGCAAACGGG
Molecule: ribosomal RNA, 253 nt
Filed under: uncultured bacterium
Lineage: Bacteria
Description: partial 16S ribosomal RNA
Rfam family: Bacterial small subunit ribosomal RNA
Source: RNAcentral